This 115-nucleotide ribosomal RNA is filed under the name Olea europaea subsp. europaea. The record is from RNAcentral. Lineage: Eukaryota; Viridiplantae; Streptophyta; Magnoliopsida; Lamiales; Oleaceae.
AAAUAAAACGGUACCACGUUGAAUACACCAGUUUAGGUGUACGAUCACUGAAGUUAAGCAACGCUGAGCGUGGCUAGAACUUGGACCUUUGCGGAGUUAAUGUGUGUUUUUGUUU